UACGGAGGGUGCAAACGUUGCUCGGAAUCAUUGGGCGUAAAGCGCACGUAGGCGGGUUGUCAAGUCGGAUGUGAAAGCCCUCGGCUUAACUGAGGAAGUGCAUUCGAAACUAGCAGCCUUGAGUACAGAAGAGGGUCGCGGAAUUCCCGGUGUAGAGGUGAAAUUCGUAGAUAUCGGGAGGAACACCAGUGGCGAAGGCGGCGACCUGGGCUGAUACUGACGCUGAGGUGCGAAAGCGUGGGGAGCAAACAGG
Molecule: ribosomal RNA, 253 nt
Filed under: uncultured bacterium
Lineage: Bacteria
Description: partial 16S ribosomal RNA
Rfam family: Bacterial small subunit ribosomal RNA
Source: RNAcentral